RNAcentral lists this ribosomal RNA (253 nucleotides) under uncultured bacterium. Its description in RNAcentral is "partial 16S ribosomal RNA". It matches the Rfam family "Bacterial small subunit ribosomal RNA", at positions 524 to 776 of the family's 1533-position model. The record is from RNAcentral.
UACGUAGGGUGCGAGCGUUAAUCGGAAUUACUGGGCGUAAAACGUGCGCAGGCGGUUUUGUAAGCCAGAUGUGAAAUCCCCGGGCUUAACCUGGGAAUGGCAUUUGGGACUGCAAGGCUUGAGUGCGGCAGAGGAGACUGGAAUUCCUGGUGUAGCAGUGAAAUGCGUAGAUAUCAGGAGGAACACCGAUGGCGAAGGCAGGUCUCUGGGCUGACACUGACGCUCAUGCACGAAAGCGUGGGGAGCAAACAGG